This 433-nucleotide ribosomal RNA is filed under the name uncultured Coriobacteriaceae bacterium. Its description in RNAcentral is "bacterial SSU rRNA". It matches the Rfam family "Bacterial small subunit ribosomal RNA", at positions 341 to 792 of the family's 1533-position model. The record is from RNAcentral. Lineage: Bacteria; Bacillati; Actinomycetota; Coriobacteriia; Coriobacteriales; Coriobacteriaceae.
ACGGAAGGCAGCAGUGGGGAAUUUUGCGCAAUGGGGGCAACCCUGACGCAGCAACGCCGCGUGCGGGAUGAAGGCUUUCGGGUUGUAAACCGCUUUCAGCAGGGAAGAAAUUGACGGUACCUGCAGAAGAAGCUCCGGCUAACUACGUGCCAGCAGCCGCGGUAAUACGUAGGGAGCGAGCGUUAUCCGGAUUCAUUGGGCGUAAAGCGCGCGUAGGCGGAUGCCUAAGCGGGACCUCUAAUCUUGGGGCUCAACCUCAAGCCGGGUCCCGAACUGGGUGUCUCGAGUGCGGUAGAGGCAGGCGGAAUUCCAUGUGUAGCGGUGAAAUGCGCAGAUAUAUGGAAGAACACCGAUGGCGAAGGCAGCCUGCUGGGCCGAUACUGACGCUGAGGCGCGAAAGCUGGGGGAGCAAACAGGAUUAGAUACCCUGGUA